This 253-nucleotide ribosomal RNA is filed under the name uncultured bacterium. Its description in RNAcentral is "partial 16S ribosomal RNA". It matches the Rfam family "Bacterial small subunit ribosomal RNA", at positions 524 to 776 of the family's 1533-position model. The record is from RNAcentral.
UACAGAGGGUGCGGGCGUUAAUCGGAAUUACUGGGCGUAAAGGGCGCGUAGGUGGUUAGUUAAGAUAGCUGUGAAAUCCCUGGGCUUAACCUAGGAACUGCAGCUGUGACUGGCUAGCUAGAGUACUGUAGAGGGUAGUGGAACUUCCGGUGUAGCGGUGAAAUGCGUAGAGAUCGGAAGGAACACCAGUGGCGAAGGCGGCUACCUGGACAGAUACUGACGCUGAGGCGCGAGAGCGUGGGGAGCAAACAGG